CAAGACCUGCGCUUUUGGAGCGGCCGAUGCCUGAUUAGCUUGUUGGUAAGGUAAAAGCUUACCAAGGCUUCGAUCAGUAGCUGGUCUGAGAGGACGACCAGCCACACUGGGACUGAGACACGGCCCAGACUCCUACGGGAGGCAGCAGUGGGGAAUUUUGGACAAUGGGGGCAACCCUGAUCCAGCCAUGCCGCGUGAGUGAAGAAGGCCUUCGGGUUGUAAAGCUCUUUCAGCCGGAACGAAACGGUUACGGAUAACACCCGUGACUACUGACGGUACCGGAAGAAGAAGCACCGGCUAACUACGUGCCAGCAGCCGCGGUAAUACGUAGGGUGCGAGCGUUAAUCGGAAUUACUGGGCGUAAAGCGUGCGCAGGUGGUUUUGUAAGUCAGAUGUGAAAUCCCCGGGCUUAACCUGGGAACU
Molecule: ribosomal RNA, 423 nt
Filed under: uncultured bacterium
Lineage: Bacteria
Description: bacterial SSU rRNA
Rfam family: Bacterial small subunit ribosomal RNA
Source: RNAcentral